Molecule: ribosomal RNA, 487 nt
Filed under: uncultured bacterium
Lineage: Bacteria
Description: bacterial SSU rRNA
Rfam family: Bacterial small subunit ribosomal RNA
Source: RNAcentral
GAUGAACGCUAGCGGCAGGCUUAAUACAUGCAAGUCGUGGGGCAGCAUGAGUAGCAAUACUUGAUGGCGACCGGCAAACGGGUGAGGAACACGUACACAACCUUCCUUCAAGCGGGGAAUAGCCCAGAGAAAUUUGGAUUAAUACCCCAUAAUAUAUUUGAUAAGGCAUCUUAUUAAUAUUAAAGCUUCGGCACUUGAUGAUGGGUGUGCGGCUGAUUAGAUAGUUGGCGGGGUAACGGCCCACCAAGUCUACGAUCAGUAGCUGAUGUGAGAGCAUGAUCAGCCACACGGGCACUGAGACACGGGCCCGACUCCUACGGGAAGCAGCAGUAAGGAAUAUUGGACAAUGGACGAAAGUCUGAUCCAGCCAUGCCGCGUGAAGGAUUAAGGUCCUCUGGAUUGUAAACUUCUUUAUAUGGGACGAAAAAGGGCAUUCUUGUUCACUUGACGGUACCAUAUGAAUAAGCACCGGCUAACUCCGUGCCAG